This 442-nucleotide ribosomal RNA is filed under the name uncultured bacterium. RNAcentral's name for it is "partial 16S ribosomal RNA". It matches the Rfam family "Bacterial small subunit ribosomal RNA", at positions 338 to 795 of the family's 1533-position model. The record is from RNAcentral.
CCUACGGGCGGCUGCAGUGGGGAAUAUUGGGCAAUGGGCGCAAGCCUGACCCAGCAACGCCGCGUGAAGGAAGAAGGCUUUCGGGUUGUAAACUUCUUUUGACAGGGAAGAGCAGAAGACGGUACCUGUCGAAUACGCCACGGCUAACUACGUGCCAGCAGCCGCGGUAAUACGUAGGUGGCAAGCUUUGUCCGGAUUUACUGGGGGUAAAGGGCGUUUAGCCGGGCUGACAAGUCAGAUGUGAAAUCCGGGGUCUCAACCCCCGAAGUGCAUUUGAAACUGUUGGUCUUGAGUAUCGGAGAGGCAGGCGGAAUGCCUAGUGUAGCGGUGAAAUGCGGAGAUAUUAGGAGGAACACCAGUGGCGAAGGCGGCCUGCUGGACGACAACUGACGGUGAGGCGCGAAAGCGUGGGGAGCAAACAGGAUUAGAUACCCGAGUAGUC